GUUUCAGUUUCAAGAAUGAUAGAAAGACAAGAAAGAGAGUGAGAGUUUUAAUGGAAAAAAAAGGUUUCAAUCUUUUUGGCGUUAAACAUCAUAAUAAUCAAUACUAUGAGUUACUAGUGAUAGUAAUAGUGUAUUAAAUGGGGAACCACCAUGGCCGUUUCUCUCACAGUAAACAUCAUCAUAAUCAACAAGGUCCCCCAUUUUUUGUACCUACACAACAAACCCAAAAUACCCAGAUGGGUAUAGCUUUGCCUUAUGCUAAUGUUGAUUCCAAUUUGCGUGGUCUUGCUGGUCAAGCUGAGGGUUUUGGUGGUUCUUCCAUUGGUGGUCGUGAUGGUCAUGUUUAUCAAGUUCUUAAUCUUAAUGAUGAUGGGCCAGGAUCACUUCGAGAUGGAUGUCGUAAAAAAGAACCUUUGUGGAUCGUCUUUGAAGUUUCAGGGACUAUUGAGCUCCGUUCUCAUUUGAGUGUGUCCUCUUUCAAAACUAUUGACGGGCGAGGCCAAAAAAUCAAACUCACUGGGAAAGGGUUGAGGUUGAAAGAAUGUGAACAUGUUAUUAUCUGCAAUCUAGAGUUUGAGGGAGGUAGAGGACAUGAUGUUGAUGGCAUUCAGAUUAAACCAAAAUCGAGGCAUAUUUGGAUAGAUCGUUGUAGCCUUAGCGACUAUGACGAUGGUUUAAUUGACAUCACAAAAGAGAGCACAGAUAUUACUGUUUCUAGGUGUCACUUUUCAAAGCAUGACAAAACAAUGCUUAUUGGAGGAGAUUCUUCUAAUUGUGGUGACAGAUGUAUGAGGGUCACCAUUCACCAUUGUUUUUUUGACGGAACUAGACAGCGGCAUCCUCGUGUUAGGUUUGCCAAAGUACAUUUGUACAAUAACUACACUAGGAACUGGGGAAUUUAUGCUGUUUGUGCUAGUGUAGAAUCACAGA
Molecule: unclassified non-coding RNA, 930 nt
Filed under: Hevea brasiliensis (rubber tree)
Lineage: Eukaryota; Viridiplantae; Streptophyta; Magnoliopsida; Malpighiales; Euphorbiaceae
Source: RNAcentral